GGUGUGCGCCCCCGGCGCUGGAGCAGCCGCGUUUCGGGGACCCGGGCAGGCGUGGGGGGCUGCGCUGAGCUCCAGGCCUCCUGCAGGUAGGGAUGCUUUGCUGACAGAUUCGGGCGUCCUCCCCUGAACGAAUGUCCUGGCGGGGCGUGCCCAGCCACCAUCCAGCUUCAGAGGCAAUGGCCGGGCGUCGUGAGAAGGGGAGGGAGAAGGAAGCGGAAGAGAGAGAGUUGGAAAGACUAGAGGAAGAGGUGGCCACGUCUUUUGCCAUCCCAGCUUUAAACUGCAGUGUUUAAGGCCUCGUCUGCCCUGCUAAGGUCACCGAACUUUUUACUUUAUGUGAAAAGUGCUUCCCAAGGGAGGCACAGGGACUCCGGUUCUGAAACCGAUUAAUGGUCUUAGAGCCCCCAGUAAGCCGUUACCAAAGUGUCCGGGUCACAGUUGCAGAGGAAGUGAGAAGCGUGUUCGACCUCAUUUGAAACGGCUUCACAGAGGGUAAACCUCAAGUUGAUUUUGUAAAAAGGAAAGCCUGUGGUUUGGCCGAGAAGAAUAAAUAAUAUAUUCUAGAUCCACGUGUAGUGACUUGGUUUGGGAAAAAAGAAUCCACAGGGAGAGGAACAGCGCAGAGGGUUCUGUGGUCUAUCGCCCAGGCUGGCUUGCAGAGAACGGAAUUCAAUCUAGUUAGUUUAAGCAGAAAGGGAUUUGCGGCAGGAUAUUAAGUGGUUUACAGACUCUUUGGGAAGACUGAAGGAUCAGAUUCCAGACUGAUCUUUUAAGAACACGACCCAAAGCCACCCUGAAGAACUAAAGAAUCUAAUGCCCCUCCUCGAAUUCAGCAGACACCAGUGGCGUAGGGAAACGGUGGCCACAGCUGCUAGCCCCAGAACCAUGCCACCUGCCCGGGUCGGAAACCACCAUGACAGGCAAUUGAUAUAGUCAAGAAACUCCCCCAAGCCGAAAGCUACUGCUAGUGCUGCCAACUCUAAAACCGUGACACCCCUGGCAUAACCCACACCAGCAAAUAGGUUCCCUGGGCAGUGCUUUUUAAUACUCCACAAAGCCAGUAAGUAGACACUGAGACCUCUCCUCCCGCUUUCAGAGCGAAACCAGGUACCUUCACAAUGGUGCUUGUCAGCAGAAUAUUAGAAACAUGCCUUCCUAAUCUCGCACUAAUUCUCCUGAAUAGUGGAAUCUAAAUCACCGUAGAACCCUAGAUGCAAGGGAGUUGGGGAAAUAUAGUAAAAACUCCAGCGUCCCAGCUCCUACAAUACAUGAAGGCAUGCUAGGAUGAUGUCAGCAUGGUUGCUGGUGACUCAAUCCGCAGUUCCCAUCACAGUCCUCCACCUGGUUACUCAACUCCCAUGCACUCCUCUCUUCUCAUACGUACACUUCCAAAUGGCAAUGAUUCCCCCUGCAGUAAAACAUGGAACUCACUUUCUUCCCAAAAUGGGGAAGUGCCAUGAGCCACUGCAUCCUGCUGUCACGGAGGUUCUAUGUUCUAGAUUCUGUCCUGGUGUUCAUUCGAGUUCAGUCAUAAUCCUCCCUUGAUAUCUUAUAACCCGUAGACCUAAUUAUAAAGUCACAUCUUAUAUAAAACACAUCCAAUAUAAAAUGUUAAGGGAAACGGGGAGGACAAAUAUAAAUUGACUAGGAUAGAGAAAAGAAGGAAAACAAUGCUAUUACAGUCCUCAUUUUUCCAAGGCUUGUGAGUCUGAGGUUGGACUGUUGAGCAUCCUUGCUUUAUCCUGGCAUGUAUUUCCUUUCACCAUAUCCGGCGCCUCUGCUGGUUAGUGCUCUUUAUCUAGUGGAGCAAUCUAAGUCUUUUUUCCUGAGAGGUCCUAUUUCUGUGUGGUCUUUCUUGUAUUGAGAUGCUGUAGUCUUCCACCAACUCUGUGAUUGGACAUACAGCCUUGCCUAUGAUUUUCCUUGAGGGGUUCUGCAGUGGCAUAUUCUGGCAGUGGUAUGUUCAGUCUUACAUUUUUAAAAUAAGACCUAACAUUUUAAAAUAAGACACCAUCGUAUCCUGAUUGGCUAUGGAUGCUUCCAGCACUAUUAGAUCUGUUACGGAUCCAAGUGGUGGUAAAGCUGCUUGCACAUGGCCUGAAAUUUUUGUUUUUGUUUUUUAAGACAGUCUCUCUCUGUCACCCAGGCUGGAGUGGCACAGUGGUGCAACCAUACCUCACUGCAGCCUUCAACUCCUGGGGCUCAAGAAAUCCUCUUGCCUCAGCAUCCUGAGAAGCUAGGACUAUAGGUGUAUGCCACCAUGCACCCAGCUAAUUAAAAAAAAUUUUUUUUGAGACAGAGUCAUGGUUUUUUUUUGCCCAGGCUUGUCUUGAACUUCUGGGUUCAAGCGAUCCUACUGCCUUGGCCCUCACAAAGUGCUGGGAUUAUAGGCAUGAGCUACCAUGCCUGGCCUGCCCUGGGAUUUUCUCAAAGCUGGCAGACUAAUGGGUUAUUCAGAAUAUGGGUCAGAGCUGCACACACACCCACAUACACACACACACACACACACACACACACACAGUACAUAUUGGUUCCCCAAUCCAGAGUCGUAUCAAGUGCUAUAGCUCUUUAUUAGCAGUAGGGGGUGCAAGAUUCAGAGAGAUAUCCCAUCGCUCACCAGAUCACUGGGCACAGCAAUUCUGCUGAGAGAGCAGGUUCUUGAAUUCUUGUGACACAACAUUCCACUCUUUGGCACACAUGUAGGCACAUAAUGUACUUGUUUCCGCUCACUAGGUGCAAUAAGAAUCGUAUUACUAAUGUGGUGUCCUCUGGAAUGGUCACAUGAACACAGUUCCCUGCAGAUGUAAUUGGGAGAGAAGGCACAGUCCUGACACAGGGUAAGACUGUGGAGGUGUAUUGCUGUCCCUACCAGCUGUGCCUUAACUUCCUCGAAAGACAACAUCAGUGCUGGCGGGCCUCAAGAAGAGCCAUCCCAAGGUAUUGACUAGGCAUCAGCGUCUUCACCAGGGCAACACAGAACAUCCCUGCAGAGUUCCUGGUGGCUGCAGUGGCUGGUAGGGGAUGUAUGCCUGCUUUCCAUCAGAUUCCCAAAGCGGAGCCCCUGGAGGCUUUGGCCCAUGGCCCUGAAGCUCCCUUUCACAAGGAAGAAAGACUUUGCAAAGCCAACACCACUAUUGGAGAGAAAGUGGAGAAUGUGUAUUAGAAGUACUAGUCUUUGAAGGCAAAACAGCUGUAUAGAGUGAGCUUAAGUGCUGGAUCCCUGUGGUUAGGAAGGGACACUAAGCCUCCGGGAUGUGAGAGUCCCAUGGAAGGCAGUAGGCCCAGGAUAAAGCAGGUGUCAGCUCAGAAAGCCCACCAUCACCCAGAAAAGGGAAGAAAUACGCUACCACCAUCACUCUUUCUGCCAAUGACUUCUUUGCACACCUCCACCCUAUCUCCUGGCUCAGUCUCCCAUGUUCUCAUAGCUAGGGAGGUCUCCAUUGUAAUUUGUAUGGGGAGGUUAACCUAUAGGCCAUUCUGAUGAUCCCAGCUCCCUUUCACUACAACCCCCGUCUGCAUCCUUUGCUUUGCAGUAGGAUUUGAGAGAGGAAGGAUGAAGAUGUAGCCACAGGAUACAUUUAAACAGGCACAGAGUUUGAGGGGUGGGGGGGAACAAAAGCAAAACAAUAAAACCUUCACCAGUCAUUAAAGAAAUGAAAAUGAACCUUUUGAGAUUGUCAAUUUUUAUCUGCUAAGUCAAGAAAAGCUAAUUUAAUUCCUGGCAAUUUCACAAUAAAAAAAAUUGUGCUAGCUCUUGGUGGCAUUGUAAGUAGUUAAAGGCUUUUUGGGAAGUAAUUUGAAAUACAUCAAGUCUUGAAAAUGAUUAUACCAGUGGAUCCAAUCAUCUCGCUGGUGGAAAUUCAUCUGAAGGAAAUGAUUCAGUGGAAAAAACAACCCGUCUACACUUGUUGCACCUAAAUGUCCAGGAAUAAGGGAAUGACAGAAGAAAUCUCAGCACAUUCUCUGAAUGGAACAGAAACCGAGCGUUUGGAACUAGAAUUGCGCAGACUGAAUUGAAUAUGGAAGUGGCUUUAAAUGGCAUGUUAGGUGGAAACACUGGAUGUCUG
Molecule: long non-coding RNA, 4067 nt
Filed under: Homo sapiens (human)
Lineage: Eukaryota; Metazoa; Chordata; Mammalia; Primates; Hominidae
Description: non-protein coding lnc-GMDS-6:14
Source: RNAcentral